This 308-nucleotide ribosomal RNA is filed under the name uncultured Pseudomonas sp. Its description in RNAcentral is "bacterial SSU rRNA". It matches the Rfam family "Bacterial small subunit ribosomal RNA", at positions 1074 to 1382 of the family's 1533-position model. The record is from RNAcentral. Lineage: Bacteria; Pseudomonadati; Pseudomonadota; Gammaproteobacteria; Pseudomonadales; Pseudomonadaceae.
GUUGGGUUAAGUCCGUAACGAGCGCAACCCUUGUCCUUAGUUACCAGCACGUUAUGGUGGGCACUCUAAGGAGACUGCCGGUGACAAACCGGAGGAAGGUGGGGAUGACGUCAAGUCAUCAUGGCCCUUACGGCCUGGGCUACACACGUGCUACAAUGGUCGGUACAAAGGGUUGCCAAGCCGCGAGGUGGAGCUAAUCCCAUAAAACCGAUCGUAGUCCGGAUCGCAGUCUGCAACUCGACUGCGUGAAGUCGGAAUCGCUAGUAAUCGUGAAUCAGAAUGUCACGGUGAAUACGUUCCCGGGCCUU